AUAAAAAAAUAUGAAAAUCAAUACACAAUGAACUUUAUGUAAAAAUAAACAUAGUUAUACUGAUUUUAUGUCGUAAAUAUACAUGAUUUAUUUAUUAUGUUAAAAUUAAAAAUUGAUAUUUUUAAUCUGUAUAUCACGUGACUAAAAACACGAGCCGCCAUGCUGUGACGUCAUAAUGGCAAUAAUCAUUCGCUGUCAUCUGUCAACAACUUUUUAUUUUCUAUUCGCAUUCUAUGCGUCAAAAUUAUUCAGUUGAUAUUUAUUUAAAUCAUACGAAAUAAGUUAAAUACUACUAAAAACACGAAAUGGAAGCCGGUUUCGUAAAAGCAGAUAGUACGAACUUAUCAAAAAUCUACACGAUGAUGGUUGCAAAGUUCUUUGCUUUGCAUGUAAUCCAGAUUUCUGUUCUGCCGAAUUCCGGAAUAUAUAAACAUCUUUAUCUGCAAGAGAAUCGUAUGGCGACGAUGCUAUCGGAUACGUGCAACUACAAAGGACCCAAGUUUUAUGUACAAUAUGUCCGGAACAUAAAGUUCGUUCCAAACCAUAUUCUGCAACUCUCAUUGUAGAUGAUGUGCUACAGGUGACAUGCCAUGAUUGUCCUGUGUCUGCCGGUGGAUGUAAACAUGCAGUAGCGUUUUUAAUGUGGUGUCAUCGUAGAAGUGAAGAGCCAUCAUGCACUUCAGUCCAAUGUUAUUGGAAAAAAUCGACACUAUCAAAGGUCGGAUCUUCAAUAAAAAUUAUGACAACGAAAGAAAUGACAAAAAAGAAGCUAAAAAGUGCUGAAACUAAUAUAGGUGACAGUGUAGUUGAAGAUUUUAUAAUUAAAUCUAAAAAAAGAAAAAUUACUUCUUGUCAAUAUUUAAAGCAUGAAAAUGACAAUAAAGUAAAUAUUAUAGAGAUUGCAUAUGAUCAAAUAUAUGUGUCAGAACUGCUCCACAGUGUUAUUUCAUUUUGGAAAAGAAAUAUUUUUCCCAUUUUAUAUGAAACUGUACAAAUAUAAUAAAAAAAAGUACUUUAAAUAAUAA
Long non-coding RNA from Ostrinia nubilalis (European corn borer), 1025 nucleotides. RefSeq lists it as uncharacterized. Lineage: Eukaryota; Metazoa; Arthropoda; Insecta; Lepidoptera; Crambidae. The record is from RefSeq and is a predicted model, not a curated record. The transcript is spliced from 2 exons.